UACAGAGGGUGCAAGCGUUAUCCGGAAUUACUGGGUUUAAAGGGUGCGUAGGCGGCGCAGUAAGUCAGGAGUGAAAGUUUGCGGCUCAACCGUAAAAUUGCUUUUGAUACUGCUGUGCUAGAAUUAGGAUGAGGUUAGCGGAAUGUGGCAUGUAGCGGUGAAAUGCAUAGAUAUGCCAUAGAACACCAAUUGCGAAGGCAGCUGGCUAGACCUAUAUUGACGCUGAGGCACGAAAGCGUGGGGAGCGAAC
This 250-nucleotide ribosomal RNA is filed under the name uncultured bacterium. RNAcentral describes it as "partial 16S ribosomal RNA". It matches the Rfam family "Bacterial small subunit ribosomal RNA", at positions 524 to 773 of the family's 1533-position model. The record is from RNAcentral.